CCUACGGGUGGCAGCAGUGGGGGAUAUUGCACAAUGGGGGAAACCCUGAUGCAGCGACGCCGCGUGUGGGAAGACGGUCCUCUGGAUUGUAAACCACUGUCCCCAGGGACGAAGAUGACGGUACCUGGGGAGGAAGCGCCGGCUAACUACGUGCCAGCAGCCGCGGUAAUACGGAGGGAGCGAGCGGUGUCCGGAAUGACUGGGUGUCAAGGGAGGGUAGGAGGGGAUGCAAGGUGGGUGUCCAAACUACCGGCGCAACUGGGAGUCGCACUCAAAACUGCAGCUCUUGAGUGAAGUAGAGGCCGGCGGCCUUCCUUGUGUAGCGGUUAAAUGCGUCGAUAUUCGGAG
This 348-nucleotide ribosomal RNA is filed under the name uncultured bacterium. RNAcentral's name for it is "partial 16S ribosomal RNA". It matches the Rfam family "Bacterial small subunit ribosomal RNA", at positions 338 to 703 of the family's 1533-position model. The record is from RNAcentral.